UACGUACCGUACGAACGUUAUUCGGAAUUACUGGGCUUAAAGGGUUUGUAGGCGGCCACGUAAGUCAGGUGUGAAAGCCCUCGGCUCAACCGAGGAACUGCGCUUCAUACUGCAUGGCUUGAGGGAGACAGGGGUAAGCGGAACUGAUGGUGGAGCGGUGAAAUGCGUUGAUAUCAUCAGGAACCCCGGUGGCGAAAGCGGCUUACUGGGUCUCUUCUGACGCUGAGGUACGAAAGCUAGGGGAGCGAACGGG
RNAcentral lists this ribosomal RNA (253 nucleotides) under uncultured bacterium. RNAcentral's name for it is "partial 16S ribosomal RNA". It matches the Rfam family "Bacterial small subunit ribosomal RNA", at positions 524 to 776 of the family's 1533-position model. The record is from RNAcentral.